Molecule: non-coding RNA, 1616 nt
Organism: Xyrichtys novacula (pearly razorfish)
Lineage: Eukaryota; Metazoa; Chordata; Actinopteri; Labriformes; Labridae
Source: the annotation of a GenBank genome assembly
UGAAAAAGCAAAACUGCUUAGUCAGAUCUGUCUUAGUGUACCCUGAGUCUGCAGUGGAAAGUGCUGUUGUUGGUGUGUACUAACUGUGCUUCUGUGUUUGUUUGUUUUUUUCCAGCAUGUUCCUCAGACCCCAGCUGACUUCAUGUCCUCUCAGAUGACUCCACUCCACCGAGGCCGAAGGUGAGACUGAGGCAGGGAUGCAACUUUAUAAGCCCAGAAAGAAAAUAAAGAUGAGGCUUGAAAAUGGUCUUUUAAAUGGUCUGAUUUGGAGCAUGGCUGCCAACCAUCAUGCAAACAUGAGCUGUUUUAAAUGACUGGUAACACUUUACAAUAACCAUAACUUAUAAAUGGUAAAUUGACCGUUUAUGAAUGGUAAGCAGAUAGUUUAUUAAUAUUUAAAUAAUUUAUAAAUAGCAUAUAGGCCAUAAAUAGUAAAUUUUACAAUUUUAUAAAAACCUUACCCCUAACCCUAACAUUACUAUAACCAUUUAAGUAAUGUUUAUAUAAACCAAUUAUUAAUCAAUUAUUAUGGUUUAUAAUCAAUAAUUAUAAACCAAUUUACAAAUUAUUUCAAACAUCAGUUACAACUUUACAAUAAACCAUCAAGUAAUGUUUAUAGAUGGUUUAAGAACCAAAUAUUAACCAUUUACUGACACACAUUUUAAUCUAGAUGUUUUAAAACAAAUAUUUAAACCCUAUAUAAACCUUUUAAUAAAUAGUCCAUUAAUAAUUAAUGAAAAUUAUCAAUCAUUAAAGUAACAAUUAACUUAUAUUAAUAAACUAUCUAUUUGGCAUUUAUAAUUGGUCUAUAGGCUGUUUUUAAAUGAUUAAACUUUAAUUAUCUAUUUACCAUUUAUAAAUUGUAGUUAUUGUAAAGUAUUUAAAAUAGGGCUGAACUCAUAAACUUGUGUGAAAGCUGAUUAUUGAAGGAGGUCAAAGAGGUCAAGGUUUUUAAUUCUGAGUCUUAUAUUCAGGACUUAAGGUUUGAUGGUUGUGUAUUUCUCUGUGUUAACCAGGAGCUGAAAUUACACCGGAUCAAGUCAAACUGAGGCAGAACUCAUGACCGUCCAACGCCUGGACCCUGUAAGGUAAGACAUUGACUACUUCACUCCACGGACAGACCAUCAACGAGGGACACUGGAGGUCAGUUUGCUUUUGGUUUGACAACAACCGCACCAACAAAAACAAGAACCCCACCAUCAACAAUCAAGCAGUGCAGUUGUUCUCUGCCCGAGUAGCAGGUUUUGGUCUAGGUUUGGUGAUGCAAUUGUGGAGAGAAAGUGUUCUCUUCUGGGGUUGCAGGUUUUGGUCUAGUUUUGGUCUGCUUUGGUGAUGCAAUUGUGGAGAGAAGUUGUUCUCUUCCAGAGAAGCAGAUUUUUGUCUAGUUUUGCUCUGUUUUGGUGAUGCAAUUGUGGAGAGAAACUGUUCUCUUCCAAAACCACAAAAACAAGAAUCCCCACCAUUAACGAUCAACCAGUGCAGCAAUAUAGACCCCCAAAACAAGUCUACUAUCAGAUUUAAUUAAACAAAAUAGCAACUCGGUCCUCAAAAACGUGUAAAUCAACAAAUUUACCAAAACAAAAAUGAGAGUUCACUCAAAUUAAAAUUUAACUUCC